Molecule: long non-coding RNA, 1407 nt
Organism: Corvus hawaiiensis (hawaiian crow)
Lineage: Eukaryota; Metazoa; Chordata; Aves; Passeriformes; Corvidae
Exons: 2
Source: RefSeq, a predicted model, not a curated record
UUUUUUAUUUAAACAAAAAAAAAAAAAAAGAGAGAGAUGUUUUAAAAAUGCAAGCGGCUUGCCCAGCUGCACACACCCGCCCUCCCUCGGCCGCCUCCCUCCCCCGGCUGCGCACACACCGCACGCUCGCACCCGCUCGGGUGUCAAACCCCGCCGGGCACCCAGCCUGGUGCGGGCACUGCCCCGGCCCCCCCGGCUGCUCCCAGCGCCGCCGAUCGGAGCCUCCCCCGCUUCCAAAUGGGCUGCUGGUUUUAAGCACAAAUUCUUCCUCUCUGGAACUUUCCUGGUUGGGAAGGAGGUUCUGGCAUGCCAGGAGACCCUCUGGUGUACCCCCACAUGUAACAGUGAAAUCCAUGGUACUUCUGUGAGCAAGUCAUGCAUUUUUUUCUCUUCUGUUUUUCUGUUGUUCACCCAAUGCUCUGGCACUGUGUUUGAAUAUAUGAGGGCAUUACAACCAAUUAAAAAAAAAAAAAAAAAAAAAAAAGAUAAUUUCCAAGAUGAAAGAGGAAUCUCUGCUUUCCAUGGUGAGCGUGCUGCAAUUGUUUUUAUUUAACAGCUCUUCCCACACUGCAGUCAAUGAAUCCCUAAUCUCCUGGACUGAAAUGUCUGACACUUCUAGAAUCAUUUAUUUGCUGCCUCGACUCGCAGAGCUCCACCUACAGCAGUGUCUCGGCAGUGGGCUGGUGGUGUAUUUGAUAUAAAUGUCUGCUCUUUAGGGGGGUGGGAGGGAUGGAAGGAUGAACACGGGCUCUGCUGUGCAAUGUGUGCCUCUCACGCCACCCUUUAAGCGAGGGGUAUCUCCAGCAGCAGCUGCUGAAGGAUCUGAGGGAUGAGGAGUGGAUGAGUCUGGCUGAGUUUAUUCCUUGCUGCUGAAUAAACUGAGUUUAUUCCAUGGCUGCUCCUGCCAAACACCAACGCUGACCAAGCCCUGGUGCUCUUUGCUGCUGCAUCCCUCUGGAAGGUGGACAGAAGGGGUGGCCUGUGUGGCAAAGACGAGGAGAAGCUCAGCUCCUGAGAGAAGUCUCCAAACUGCUCCCUCUGGCUGCUCCAAGAAGCUGAACUUUCCCUGGAAGCUGUGGCUGGUGCUCCCAGACCAUUACACACUUCUCACUUGACUGCCCUGCUGGGAGCUGCACUUUUAGGAUGAAUUAUGCAAGAAAUGCUGUGAAGCAUCAGAAAUGCUGAGGAUUGAGAAGAGUCCUCCCAGGGUAUGAACUCAUUUGUGGAUAAAGUCUGACACUCACCUGGAUUCCAACUCCUCCAGAAAAGGACAUGAGGUGUGGAAAGGAUCACAAAUUAAUCAGUGGACUUUGGUUUUGCUUUGGUGUGCUUGUAUCAUGUCUGAACAUGCAAAGAACUUGGUUUUCCACAAGGAAUCCAGUAAAUGGCACCUCUGUAAAUCAGUUA